Molecule: ribosomal RNA, 252 nt
Filed under: uncultured bacterium
Lineage: Bacteria
Description: partial 16S ribosomal RNA
Rfam family: Bacterial small subunit ribosomal RNA
Source: RNAcentral
UACGAGGGGGCAAGCGUUGUUCGGAAUUAUUGGGCGUAAAGGGUGCGUAGGCGGUCUGAUAAGUCAUCUGUGAAAUCUAUGGGCUCAACCCAUAGUCUGCAGGCGAAACUGUCGGGCUUGAGUAUGGGAGAGGUGAGUGGAAUUUCCGGUGUAGCGGUGAAAUGCGUAGAUAUCGGAAGGAACACCUGUGGCGAAAGCGGCUCACUGGACCAUUACUGACGCUGAUGCACGAAAGCUAGGGGAGCAAACAGG